UCUUUUUUUUCCCUUUCUCUUUCUCUUUCUCUUUCUCUCUUUCUCUUACUCUCUUCUCUCUCUCUCUCUCUCUCUCUCUCUCUCUCUAUCUAUCUAUCUUUCUCUCUUCCUUUCUGUAUGUUGCUUCAUAUUCUUUCCUUUUACCUUUGAAAAUAGGCACAGUGUCAUUAUAUUUUAAAUCUCCAUCAAUGAUAUUAGCAAACACGUAUUUCAAAAACUUUUAAAUCACUAACGCAUCGGCCAAGGGAAAAAAUAAUUUUAUGAUUUUUAAAACCUACACACCUGCCCUGCUGGUGGGGAGAAGCCGGGGAACCAGGAGCUGCUUUAAAAGCAGUCAUGGCAGUGACACCGUCAACAGCAACAGCGUAUGCUUUUCUCUUGCAGCUCCAAGGGGAAGAGCCAAACUCGAAGAAACCAGAGCCGUGUGCCUUGUGUUUGAGUAUUUGAUGUUGGGAUUCCUCUCCACUUUCAAUGAGUCCUGAGGACCACAGUGGCAUGCCGGUUAUGGUGUCAGUAGGAUGUUGGCAAGUGAAGUUCUUUAGAAAGUGAGUGGCCUUCUUUUACAAAACGAAUAACCUAGGUAGAUAGAAAACAUCAACUGGGAGGGUGGGGUGGAUAUGUC
RNAcentral lists this long non-coding RNA (622 nucleotides) under Vulpes vulpes (red fox). Its description in RNAcentral is "lncRNA (ENSVVUG00000010742.1)". The record is from RNAcentral. Lineage: Eukaryota; Metazoa; Chordata; Mammalia; Carnivora; Canidae.